UACGGAGGGUGCGAGCGUUGUCCGGAAUUACUGGGCGUAAAGGGCGCGUAGGCGGCCUGUUAAGUCGAACGUGAAAUCCCCGGGCUCAACCCGGGAACUGAGUCCGAAACUGGCAGGCUUGAAUCCGGGAGAGGGAUGUGGAAUUCCAGGUGUAGCGGUGAAAUGCGUAGAUAUCUGGAGGAACAUCGGUGGCGAAGGCGGCUUUCUGGACAGAUACCGACGCUGAGGCACGAAAGCUAGGGGAGCAAACAGG
RNAcentral lists this ribosomal RNA (253 nucleotides) under uncultured bacterium. RNAcentral describes it as "partial 16S ribosomal RNA". It matches the Rfam family "Bacterial small subunit ribosomal RNA", at positions 524 to 776 of the family's 1533-position model. The record is from RNAcentral.